CCUACGGGUGGCAGCAGUGAGGAAUAUUGGUCAAUGGACGAGAUUCUGAACCAGCCAAGUCGCGUGAGGGAUGACUGCCCUAUGGGUUGUAAACUUCUUUUAUCAAAGAAUAAACCGCGGCACGUGUGCCUUUUUGCAUGUACUUUAUGAAUAAGGAUCGGCUAACUCCGUGCCAGCAGCCGCGGUAAUACGGAGGAUCCGAGCGUUAUCCGGAUUUAUUGGGUUUAAAGGGUGCGUAGAUGGGUUGUUAAGUCAGUUGUGAAAGUUUGCGGCUCAACCGUAAAAGUGCAAUUGAUACUGGCAGUCUUGAGUACAGUUGAGGUAGGCGGAAUGCGUGGUGUAGCGGUGAAAUGCUUAGAUAUCACGAAGAACCCCGAUUGCGAAGGCAGCUUACCAAACUGUGACUGACAUUGAGGCUCGAAAGUGUGGGUAUCAAACAGGAUUAGAUACCCGUGUAGUC
RNAcentral lists this ribosomal RNA (460 nucleotides) under uncultured bacterium. RNAcentral describes it as "partial 16S ribosomal RNA". It matches the Rfam family "Bacterial small subunit ribosomal RNA", at positions 338 to 795 of the family's 1533-position model. The record is from RNAcentral.